UACAGAGGUCCCAAGCGUUGUUCGGAUUCACUGGGCGUAAAGGGUGCGUAGGUGGUUAGGUAAGUCCGAUGUGAAAUCUCCAGGCUCAACCUGGAAAUGGCAUUGGAUACUAUUUAGCUUGAGGAGUGGAGGGGGGGACUGGAAUUCUCGGUGUAGCAGUGAAAUGCGUAGAUAUCGAGAGGAACACCAGUGGCGAAGGCGAGUCCCUGGACACUUCCUGACACUGAGGCACGAAAGCUAGGGGAGCAAACAGG
Molecule: ribosomal RNA, 254 nt
Filed under: uncultured bacterium
Lineage: Bacteria
Description: partial 16S ribosomal RNA
Rfam family: Bacterial small subunit ribosomal RNA
Source: RNAcentral